UGGACUACAGGUGGCCCAUGCGCUAUGACCAGUGGUGGGAGUGUAAAUUUAUUGCAGAAGGCAUCAUUGACCAAGGGGGUGGUUUCCGGGACAGCCUGGCAGAUAUGUCAGAAGAGCUGUGCCCUAGCUCAGCGGAUACCCCCGUGCCCCUGCCUUUCUUUGUACGCACAGCCAACCAGGGCAAUGGCACUGGUGAGGCUCGGGACAUGUAUGUACCCAACCCCUCCUGCCGAGACUUUGCCAAGUAUGAAUGGAUCGGACAGCUGAUGGGGGCUGCCCUUCGGGGUAAGGAGUUCCUGGUGAGUAGCCUUAUCCACACCCCCGUCCGAUCAGCCCUGGCCCCUGGAAGGAAAGGCCAGCCAAACCUGGGCAGCUCAGGGUGAGAAGACACUGGGGAGUGUUUGUCACACAGGUCCUGGCCCUGCCUGGUUUUGUGUGGAAGCAGCUUUCUGGUGAGGAGGUGAGCUGGAGCAAGGACUUCCCAGCUGUGGACUCUGUGCUGGUGAAGCUCCUGGAAGUGAUGGAAGGAAUGGACAAGGAGACGUUUGAGUUCAAGUUUGGGAAGGAACUAACAUUCACCACUGUACUGAGUGACCAACAGGUGGUGGAGCUGAUCCCUGGGGGUGCAGGCAUCGUCGUGGGAUAUGGGGACCGUUCUCGUUUCAUCCAACUGGUCCAGAAGACACGGCUAGAGGAGAGCAAGGAGCAGGUGGCAGCUAUGCAGGCAGGUCUGCUGAAGGUGGUACCACAGGCUGUGCUGGACUUGCUGACCUGGCAAGAGUUGGAGAAGAAAGUGUGUGGGGAUCCAGAGGUCACUGUGGAUGCUCUGCGCAAGCUCACCCGGUUUGAGGACUUCGAGCCAUCUGACUCGCGGGUGCAGUAUUUCUGGGAGGCACUGAACAGCUUCACCAACG
RNAcentral lists this small RNA (914 nucleotides) under Pan troglodytes (chimpanzee). Its description in RNAcentral is "processed transcript". Lineage: Eukaryota; Metazoa; Chordata; Mammalia; Primates; Hominidae. The record is from RNAcentral.